GUGUUAUUUUAAAAUGGAGAUGAUUUGUACUCCCCUUGAUAAGGAAGAGGUCCUAGUGAACUUUACCAUAUACAUAGGAUUAAAUUCU
RNAcentral lists this non-coding RNA (88 nucleotides) under Monodelphis domestica (gray short-tailed opossum). Lineage: Eukaryota; Metazoa; Chordata; Mammalia; Didelphimorphia; Didelphidae. The record is from RNAcentral.